Molecule: long non-coding RNA, 480 nt
Filed under: Linum usitatissimum (flax)
Lineage: Eukaryota; Viridiplantae; Streptophyta; Magnoliopsida; Malpighiales; Linaceae
Description: long non-coding RNA (LUSI_LNC002190)
Source: RNAcentral
CAAAGUGAAAACCUGUCUGUGUUUGUCUCCACCCUUUACAACGAAUACAUCACACUUGCAUUUGACUACUUUGCAGACCCCAUAGUUGAGAUCUCUACUUAUUUCCAUCAAAUUGGAGUCAAUGGAACCAUAACAGAGUACCCGAGAACUGCAAGCAAAUAUAUGAGUAAGCAUUCAAUGCAAAAGCUUCUUCCAUUUCUCAGAAAGAAGACAAAGUGACCUUUGAAAAAGAAGUGUUCUAAUCAUUUGCCUGUUCUUUAUUUCAUUGCUCCAGAAAACCCAUGCUCGGAUCUAAACAAUCAGCAGCUAACUCAUGUUGUCUUGCCAAUCGUACCUGGUUCUCUACUCAACUUCAGCGGACUGGAACUACCACCCCCAAGUCAUCCGAGACCAUCUCUAGCUGUUAAAGAUAUAGGCGAUCCACCACUGCCUGCAGUGACUAAAGUUGAAAAUCCUCCAGCGGCCGGUCCUCCGUCUUCG